UUCGUCGCUUCAUUUGCCAGAGUCAAAAUAGGUGAACUGAAGUAAGAGGAGAGGUGAAAGGUCAACUUCCCAGCAGCCUUUGUUCUUGUCUCUGAUAUUGGAACCCUGAGUGACUGUGUGGGACGCUCUCUAAUUUUGUGGCCAGGGUGCCUGAGGAGACCGGAGGCAUCCAGUCCCCGUGGAGCUGGAGUUACAGGCAAUUGUAAGCCUCAGGACAUCGGCACCGAGGAGAAACCCUGGACUUCUCUACAUAGCUGUGAGCACUCUUAACGACUGAGCCACCUCUCCAGCCCUACAGCUUUAAGUUUUACUGAGGGGAGUAGUUGCAGUUUCUGCCUCUCCUUUGUGGAUGGUUGUUACAUCGUAGAAACAAUUAUAAAUCCUGAGAAGAUCUUAAACAGAAAGAAUACAGAACUUUUGUCUGUACUUCAUCCCCUUACACUUGUUAUCUGAGGGAUCUUCAACACUUCAAUUCCACUUUGCCCCAGUUUUCUAUUUUAUUUCAUUUUAUCGAUAACAUGUAUUUUGGUGGGGUUGGGGGGAGCAUGGGCAGGUCAGAAGACAACUUUCCACAGUUGAUUUUCUCUUCCCAACUUGUGAAUCUGGGGGAUCUAACAAGUUAUCAGGCUUGGCCCCAAGUGCCUUUAUCCUUUGAGCCAUCUUGCUAGGGUCUCUGUUUUAGAAAAAAGAAAAAGAAAAAAGAUGUUAGACUUCGCUAAAAAUCUUACUUCACCUCUGAAAUCCAGUGAAACUCUAUCCUUUAACUUCUCAAAUGGAAUCGACUCAUCUGGGAAAGAUGUGUAACCCGCAGCUACUACACAGAUGGUAUGAAAUGGCGUGGCCUUCUGAGGUUAGAUUAAAACCAGGCAAGCUUAGGAAAUGACUUACCAGAGUCCUGUGAACCACAGCUCCUGUGCUCUAGAAAAUGCCUAGAGAGAGAAAAGUGUUAAGACAAAAUUGCCUCUAAAAACCAUUGUCCUGUCUCCUCUUCUGAACUCCAUUCAUAGGGGCUUUUACACUCAAAGCCACCCAGAGCAGCCAGGCGCUAUCUUAUGUCUGCCUGGGUGUUCAGCUCCCUGAAUCUCUCCCCAGCAAGCCUUAGCUGUGAGUGGUUUAUUGUUGUCUUGCCUCCCUGUCUGUCACCUCAUCCACUGAGCUUUACCUCUUCUGCCUUCCUUUCUGUAUCCUCCCCACCCCUCCAGCAUGGAGACUGAACCGAAGGCUUUGCUUGUACUAGGCAAACAUAUGCAACUCAUGCCCUUGGGAAAUCAAACAUACUACAAAAGAGUGGUAGUCACAGAGAAUAUCAGUUCAUGCUAGAAAAAACGUUACCUUUGUCACGUAACUUGAAAAGAACUUAAUUCUUGUAGUUUCUGUUUAGUCAGGAGAAAGAAUGUGGGAAGAAUAUGUCACAUAUGUGAGAGUAGCUGGUAUGUUAAAGAACUAGUAUAGUUAAUAACACCAAUAAAAGUUAUUGAAGUCAUAAAAAUGAAUAAAAUCUUCCCAUGAAAGUUUUUAAAAGGUAUGAUGGCUUCAUUCCCAUUUUUCAAUAAAAAUAAGACCAGAUGUGGUAGCUCGUGCCUGCAACCCCAGCAUUUUGGAAAGUAAGUAGAAGAAUUGUACGUUUGACGCUAGCCUAAGCUACAAUGUGAGACCUUGUUUUGUUUUUUGUUUGUUUGGUUCUCCUCCCCGCCCCCAGAGCUGAGGACUGAACCCAGGGCUAAAUCCCCAACCCCUUGUUUGUUUGUUUUAAGAAUUAAUUUAAAUAAAUGAAAAUAGGCCUGAGGUAUAAGUCAGUGGUAGAGUGUGGAUGUUUCAUAGGCAUGAAGCUCUGGUUUUAAUAUUAAUCCAUCACAAAAAUAACAAUAUAAUAAUAAAAAUAAGAUCUUAUAAGUUUGACAGUCCUUGGCUGGGGCACAGCACUCAGCCCCAAAUGCUAGGGGCUCUGUGUUCAAUCCCCAGUACCCUAACACACACACCACCAGCACCACCAAUUCUCAGAGCAAUCGGGAUCACUAGGCCACCCUAACAACACUGAACCAGAAGCAGAUGGCUGCCCCAGGCAUACAGACUAGAACAGGGAGAAGUCAUGUAUUUAUUUUGUCUCCAAAUCACUCAAUUUGUCUGUAGUAAAACUUGUACUUUAAGUUGGAUUCGUUUUCACUGGACCACACAAGUUACCUUGAUAAGGUGUUAGAAAACACAAUACAGUUGCAGUGCUGCUGUCAGACCCAGGGCCUCACACACAUCAGGCAAGCACUCUGUCGCUGAGCAGUAUUAGCAGACCUGUAAACCAGCUUCUAAUCAAGACCAAGGCAUGCCCGGGAAGGGACUUGGAAAGAGUUGAACAGACAUUUUCUUUAUUGUUUCUUAAAAAUGAAAUGUUGGCUGUAAUAAACCUUCUCAAGUAGGAUUUUUGCCUGCUUGGCUUUUUCCCCCUCCUUUUUAGUUUUCAAUAAUCUUCCUACAUAAGAAUGUGUAGGAAACCCCAAAUGGGUGGUCAUUUAUAACCCCGUACAGUGCAAAGUGUACUGAGAGUCGGCAUGGACUAGCACCUGCUACUCUGGGUUGGUGGUGCUGUUCGAUUUCCCCAUACUCACCAGCUGCCCAGUGACAUGAGGGCCAGUUUUGUUUCCCCAGACAUUGAACACUAAAGCAAUACUGUGAGUAACCAUUCAAACAAAAAACAGGUGAUGUGACAAUUCAAAGGGAAGCAGAGGCCCAGACUGAUAAUUGAUAGUUGUCAACUGGCUGAGGGCCCUUUGCCCAGACAGAAGCAGAUGAAGAGAAACACCUGUACAGUUCCUUCUUGGCACUGUCCCUAACUUGAAGCAACAGUGAGCUACAGGAGAUGGCCAUAAGCAAUAAUAAGCAGGAAAUAGUCUGUUCCUGGCUUUUGUGCAGGGAACCUUAGGUACUGUAACCUUAAACCUACAGUGACCAAUGUUAAGUUUUGGUGCAGGUCCAAAAAGGUUUUGGGGAUUCCUAGCUAUUAAUGGCGCCUUUUUAACAGCUUUAAGACUUAAGGCAUUGAGUUGUGGUCUCACCAUGUAGCUCAGGUUAGUGGGAGGUUGGUGGGGGGAGAGCUCACCAUGUAGCUCAGGCUAGCCUAGGUCUUGUUAUGCCUCAAACUCAAUCCUGCGCAGACUCCUGAGUGCUGGGGUUGUAAGUGCACCCCACAUGCCCUGCUGUGCUUCCCAUCUUCCUCAGCUCUCAAGCCUUUUCACUUCAGUUGUUGCCAACUGUUUCUAAUCUAACUGCUCUCUGGAGCUGUUCAGCACCCUCUCAUAGCCAUUGCCACUUCUGCCACCGUGUCUGCGCUGGCAUUGCCCUGACUCCAUUACCACCACCUCAGCUAUCACCACUGCUGCCUCCAUGUCAGCCCACUCUACUGAAGACAAAGAUCCGAAGUAACCAGAAAAGGCAACGUGGGAGAAACCUGUUCCUGGGCCUCGUGUUGUGACACAUAGCAAGGAAGACAGUGUCCAGCCAGCUCCCAGAGCAAACCGGUCAGCUUGCUUGAACACCUAGAAGAGGAGUAGCAGUAUUUGUGCCAAUACAGUAGACCGUGGUGGAAAUGGAGGACUGUGUGCACACUAAUCAUGGCAUUGUUCUGGAACCUGUCACAGAAGACCCUCUGCUCUGCCCCAAGGGGAGAUGCUUGCCUUUUGACCUGGAUGGUGGUUACAGAAUCAUCUAGAUUUCACCAAGACUUGGGAGGACAGAAAAAUCUAACAUAAGUUGUUUGAAACAGGCAUGCCCGGGGUUCUUCAGGUUGCUGUUGGCUUCCUCAAGUGCUAGUCUGAGGACAGUCAGUUGGCUGCUUGUGCUCUGAAGCAUCUACGGCACAAAGCUAAUAGGUCAGUUAGGAGGUCAUGCUGUCUAUCUCUAAAAUUCUUGCUUCUUUACGGGAAAAUUAAAUACAAGGGCACUUACAAUAAGGGAGCCUUAACAUCAGUGGUGAUUCUUUAUAGUUUCCAAGAGUGUUUAACCUGCCCAGAGCCCCCAAAUCGGUCUCAGUAUGACAGCCAUAGAUAGAGGAAUUUCCUUUACAUACUACAUACUUACCAUACUUCUUGUUCGAAAGAUGGACAAUUGUUUCUUGCAAUCAUUACUGAUGAGGAUGGCCAUUAGAUAAACUAAUCUCAGUCAGGGAGAUGACUCAGCUCUGUAAAAGCAUUUACCAUGCAAGUUGACCUGAACACAUGGUAGAAGGAGAGAAUUGUCUCCCAAAAGUUAUCCUCUCAGCAUACACACACUCCUGUGCUCAUAUCAUACAUAGACACAAUAAUAACAUGGAAUUCUAACAACCAAUCUCAGACAAAGCUGUAUACAGGAGGGUUUGGUCUUCAGCUGUUUAGAAAUGCUCAGGUAACUGGGCGGCUGCAUGUUAUGAACAAAGAAGUAACUGAUACCCCUGUGCCCUCUCCCCUCUCCCGCAUCUUCCUCCCCAUUUUAGCUGCACCCAGAUGGAGUCAAAACAGACCUUUCAGAUGAGCCGUGCAUGGCACCUUGCAUCUUUCAGCCCUGGGGUGCCUUUCCCUUUAUUUCUGAUUCCAAACCUUACUCCCAUCUAACAGCAGCCUUCAGAUAGAGCCACCCAUCACCACUAUCAGUCAGUUUACUUUUCUGUGUUUUUUGUCCUCCUGAGCCUUUGGACGGUUGGCUCAGUGGUCCUUUGGUUUAGGGUUAGUCAAGUGUAGCAGGAGAGCAGGGAGUUUUUUGGUUUUUUUUGUUUUUGUUUUUGUUCUUGUUUUUUUUUUUUUUGGUUCUUUUUUUCAGAGCUGGGGACCGAACCCAGGGCCUUGCGCUUCCUAGGCAAGCGCUCUACCACUGAGCUAAAUCCCCAGCCCCGAGAGCAGGGAGUUUUGCCAUGGACUCCUUUCUCUAGCAUUCCUGAAAGGGCCAGGGCAACAAUUGAAGCCAGAAGACUUUUAACAAAUAGCCACUAAGCAAAGCUCUGAAAUAGCUCUGUUUGGACCCAAGACUAUGGAGCUUGCUUAACCAGAAUGAAAGUUUGGACUGUGUCUUCGUUAGGGUUUUACUGCUGUGAAGAGACACCAUGACCAAGGCAACUCUUUUAAAGGACAUCAUUGGAUUGGGACUGGCUUACAGGUCCUUAGAUUCAGUCCAUUACCAUCAUGGCAGGAAGCAUGGCAGCACAGCAUCCAGACAGGCAUGGUGCUGAGGAGCUGAGUCUCCCAGGCAGCGAGGACAAGGGUCUCAAAGUCUAUCCUCACAGUGACAUACGUCUUCCAACAAGGCCUCAUCUCCUAAUAGUGCCACUCCCUAGGCCAAGCAUAUUCAAAUCACCACAGACUGGCUUUACACUUAGGAAAUAAGAUUUAAAAAUAUGAAACAAUGUGUAAAGGUAAGGACUUCGUGAUUCUUUCAUGUAUCUUCCUUGAAUAGUAACCAUGCGCUAGCUACAAAUAGCCCAAAGACUGUGAAGAGAUACAAAGUAAAGUGAUAAAUGGUCCCAGCAGUGAGUUAUUACUGUAUCCUGGGAAGAGCCAGUACCAUCCUUCAUCCCAGAUUCUCUUCUCCAUCCUUCCCCUCCCCUCCCCUCCUGAGAAAGAGCAAGAUACACAUUCUUGGACAGAGAAUUACCUUGAAGAUAGGAACCAGGACCAUGAUUUGAGAAGAUUUUGAAUCAAUAACAUCCUCUAGGUGUUAACUUUAAUAUUUUGGUGACUAUUCUAGAAUAUGGGAUACAGAGAUAACUUUAAAUUAUAAAUGAGGGCUGGAGAGAUGGCUCAGUAGUCAAGACUGCUCUUGCAGAGAACCUAAGUCUAAUUAUCACAAUCUACUUCAGAUGGCUCACCACCUCCUGUAACCCCAGUUCCAGGGGAGCUGAUACUUUUAGCCCCUGCAGGUUACACACACACACACACACACACACACACACACACACACACACACACACACUUGAUUAAAAAUCUUGAAAUUUUUAAUGAAUUUAUUAAUGAUCCUUAGCCCUUCAUAUUGUCAUAUCAAUAGAUACAAACUACAAGAAAACACACUAUAAGCCUGGUGCAGUAGUACAUAACUAAUUCCAGCAGUCAGUGAGCUGAGGCAGAAGAGUUACAACUUCGAGGUCAGCCAGGGCUUCAUAGAGUGACCCUGUCUCAAAAACACAAAAGCAACAACAAAACCCUCACUUUGAAAGAAAAGCAAAUGACAGCUAAGCAUGGUGGCUCAUUCCUGCAUUAAGGCUAAAGCAUAAGUUAAAGACCAAGGCUAUAGUAUGACACUCAAAAACAAACAAAUUACUCAAAACUUAGUAACCUAUAUAGACCCGUGGGUCAGCCAUUUGAGAUGAACUUAGUGGAGCAGUUCUGGUAACCAACACACACACCACAUACUGAACACAUACAUAUACACUGUACAGGCACACACUGUACACUCACACUGCACACAUGCACAUAUGAGCACACGUGUGUGCUCCCAACCUCCCUGGAAUAUGGAAUUAUUCACUAGUCUCCAGACAACCCAGAUUCUGUGUAUGACAGAUUCAUUCAUUUAUGACUGAUUAGCUCUGUCUGAGCCUUCAAGUUUCAUCUUGUCCUUUUUCUUCCACAAAACUCUUGAUGCUGUUUUUUAAGACUUUGUCUGUGUAGCUCUGGCUGUCCUGGAACGUUUUACUCUCUCUAUGGGUCAAGUUGUUCUCAAACUCAGAGAACCACCCACUUCUGCCAGCUGAGUUCUGGGAUAAAGGUGUGCUCACCACUGUAGGCCCAAAGUUAAGCAAACAGUCACGGUUUCACUGUAUAGCCCUGGUUAACCUCAAACUCACAGCCAUCCCACCUCUGCUUCUCAAAAACUCCAAGAAAACUCUUGUGUGCGUGUCUCAUUCCUCACCCUUCAUCACCUAGACUUGUCCGUCUGUCUUCCCAUGGUGUCUCAUGCUUGCCAACUUUGCCCUUCUUGUCUGUGGAAAAAGCCACAUCAAAUACUCCUGUACCCUGCACAGUGUCUAGUAGCCAAGAGGCCUCAAUAAGCUUUCACUGAGAUAAGAUGAAUCACAAGGGAAUGAAGAAAUGCAUGUUGCUGACGUCAGCAGGUGCUAAAGCAGUAUUCAUACCCAUUCAUAGUCACUUUGGAACAAUAUAACGUUGUGAAAUAACCCAAGUGGGGGAAAACAUUGCAAAAAUGAAGGGGAACCCGUGACAGCGUUGGAUGUACUCUGAUACACUGAUGGGAACCCCAGACAGAAUCAGGAAACGGGCGGCCACCUGAAGGAUGAGGACAUGGUAGAGAGGGGGGAUUUCAGCUUCAGCCCGAGAUUCCAUCAGGGGAGGAAGUACACGUUCACCCCCACCGGCCAGUGCCUCCAUCAGCCAUAUCAACACAAUGAAACUCCUUUUAAAAUCACAACAGCUGAGUCUGGGAAGCUUCCAAAGGCUACAGCCUCGAGGAGGUUCCUGAAGUGGGUAUACCCAAGGAGGAGAGAGGAGCACCUACGCCUUCCCACAUUACUUGGCUUCUGUGUCUCUUUAUGACACGAAUAUGACAAGAAGUGGAUAAAAGGAACCAAGUGAUUCUCUGAGUUGUACAAAUAUCCCUGGCAAGUUAAUUGAGUCCAAGGAAGAGAUCAUGGGAAACUUGGAUAGCCAGUUGUUCAAAAGCACAAGUGAACAACCUGGGGCCUGAGGUUGGCUUCAGGAGUGGGCAUCUGCCCAUCUGAUGUCAGAAGUGUAGGUUGUUGAGAGGGUAGGAAAAAUUACUGUUUUCUCCACAGCAUGACAGUCAGCCAUUUUUUUUUUAUAACUUCAGAAGCCAGAAGCAAUCAAAUGCCCAGUUAAGUGAAAACCUAACUUAUAGUGAACUAAUGGUAAAGGUAGAUAAAUUAGGGGCAGGGACAGGUAAUAAGCAGUUCUAUGUAUUUACUGGGGAAAUGUCUGCCUCCAAAUUGGGGUGAUGCCUGCAACCCAGAGAAUACACAUGCAAGUCCAGUGUGAUGAGCAGAAUGAGCUUAUUAAGGCUUGCCUACGGAGUGGCAGACAACUACCCGUUCACAGGGAGGCCACACCUCCCACUCACCUGAUUUCUCAUUUUUGAGGUUCUAAGCAGAAAGCAAAAUUUGUACAAACCUGGGCUUUGAUCGCCAUCUAGUGUUAGAAUAGCCAAUGUGCCUACAAGCUCACACCUAGAACAAACUAGGAAAUGUAUGUUUAUGUUUAUGUUCCUUUGUUAUUAUUGUUAUCAUAUUUAUGUGUGUGCGUGCACGUUCACGUGUGUGUUCGCAGGCCUGGAACAACAUUCAGACAUGAAUGUUAAAGAGCAGCUUGUAAGACUUCUUUCCUUGCAACAUGAGGGCCAAGGGAUUGAACUCAGAUCAUCAAGCUUGAACUACAAGCACCUUUCCUUGUGGAGCCAUUUUGCUGGCCAAACCUCUUACUAAGGUUUCUACUGCUCUCAACACAUGCUCCCUAAUCAUGGGAGCUAUGGUUUGAUUGAUCAACUGUAAUCUAAAUAGGGUUCAGCUUCCAGAGUCUACACAAGUUUGGUAAGAAUGGAGAAAACUUGGAGUAAGAAAUGUAAAGUGGGGGGCUGGAGAGAUGGCUCAGUGGUUAAGAGCACCCGACUGCUCUUCCAGAGAUCAUGAGUUCAAUUCCCAGCAACCACAUGGUGGCUCACAACCAUCUGUAAAGAGAUCUGAUGCCCUCUUCUGGUGUAUCUGAAGACAGCUACAGUGUACUUAUAUAUAAUAAAUGAAUAAAUCUUAAAAAAAAAAAAAAGAAAUGUAAA
Rattus norvegicus (Norway rat) is the source of this 8751-nucleotide long non-coding RNA. RefSeq lists it as uncharacterized. The record is from RefSeq and is a predicted model, not a curated record. Lineage: Eukaryota; Metazoa; Chordata; Mammalia; Rodentia; Muridae.